UUUUACUCUUUCCCAAAUCAUUCAUACCUUUUUAGAUAAUCAUAAUAUGAAUCAAUUGUAUAGCAAUUGCUAUGAGAGUUGAAUUAACCUUCAAGCAAUGAAUUAUAAAAAGGAGAUGGGCAAUGGCAUUGGGAGGCAAUUUGUUAAAAGAAGUAUUUCAAGGAGGUAUGAUAAGUGUUCGAUCAUGAAGAAGAAGAAGCAAAACGCCAUUCACUAAGGGAUAACUCGCGCACGCAGAAGGGAGGAAGCAGGGGAAAAUUGCUCCAUCUUCCAUCGUCUCCAGUCACCAUUGGAUAACCUUUCGUCGCGGGGUCUCAAGUUCCGAUAUAGCCGCUAGCUACCAUCGCCGAUCAUUACGAGUUCCAACUCCUUCGUUGGUUGCGCCGUCGACCAUCAGUCUCAGGAGGAACACGUUUGUUCAUUUCCUCGAGAGCACCAUUCCAGAACCAAAAAAAAAAAAAAAAUCGAGCAAGGAAAAUUCAUCUAAAAAAAGCGAUUCCGUCCGAUUCAGUUGGCGAUUUCAAGCGUCCUGAAUCGAUCACAGUGGCCGUCGCCGGCAUCAACAGCCUCUUCAAUGCCGCGACUCGUCUCCUUCGUUUCUCUUCCGCGGCCGAGAGCUUCGAAAUGUUGUCGUUCCGCUCGAAGCUUCUCCGCCUGUUCAGGUUUCGAUCAUCGACGCGUUCUAGAGUUUCUUUCAGUGAUUCGUGCGCCAACCCGCGGCCUCAAUCCACUUGAUUGACCAGUGGUUCCCGUGAUCCUUUGGUGAUUGGUGGUGGUCAGCGAGAUGAGGAGGCUUGGAGUCGCUGGCACAUGCAUGAUCUUUGGUGAUGAUCAUAGUACGCCCUGUCGAACAGAAUUGAGACAAUAUUGCUGAGCAUAAAUCACGAUCAUGCCAAUUCAGAUCACGAACUUUGGCCGACACAUGUUUUGGUCACUAACUGGAGCAAUGUUAUGGCUGAUUGCUAGCCGUGUCCUUGCUGCUGUGUUGCCCCACAAUGUCCUGGACCAUUAAGCUUUGCUUCUGCCCAUGCCUUGCAGUCCAUUGUUGCCAUUGUAAUUGCUGUGGUAAACCUACCUUCCAUAAUGGCUAUCCAAUUGAUCUCCACUUGCAGCAGCACUGUCAUCAGAAGAUACUGCCAUACGUUACUGAUAUGGAUUGACGUACCAAUAGAGCUAUAUCCACCGCGUGUUGUUAAAAAUCGGAUGGCCUCAUACCAUCGGCUUGUUUCUGUUCCAACUGAUUUUUAGAGUUGACUGUAUGUUCAGAUUUCCUUCACUCCUUUGUUUCUUAUGUUCAGGAUUUUGCGUGUCUUCUUAAAUUGAAUCAUGGGAAAGCUAAGUGGUUCGAA
Long non-coding RNA from Eucalyptus grandis, 1349 nucleotides. RefSeq lists it as uncharacterized. Lineage: Eukaryota; Viridiplantae; Streptophyta; Magnoliopsida; Myrtales; Myrtaceae. The transcript is spliced from 2 exons. The record is from RefSeq and is a predicted model, not a curated record.